Molecule: ribosomal RNA, 406 nt
Filed under: uncultured bacterium
Lineage: Bacteria
Description: partial 16S ribosomal RNA
Rfam family: Bacterial small subunit ribosomal RNA
Source: RNAcentral
AUUGCACGCUGGCGGCAGGCCUAACACAUGCAAGUCGAACGAGCGGCGGACGGGUGAGUAAUGUCUGGGAAACUGCCUGAUGGAGGGGGAUAACUACUGGAAACGGUAGCUAAUACCGCAUACCAUCAGAUGUGCCCAGAUGGGAUUAGCUAGUUGGUGGGGUAAUGGCUCACCAAGGCGACGAUCCCUAGCUGGUCUGAGCGGAUGACAAGCCAAUCUGGAACUGAGCCACGGUCCAGACUCCUACGGUAGGCAGCAGUGGGGAAUAUUGCACAAUGGGCGCAAGCCUGAUGCAGCCAUGCCGCGUGUAUGAAGAAGGCCUGCGGGUUGUAAAGUACUUUCAGCGGGGAGGCGUUACUCGCAGAAGAAGCACCGGCUAACUCCGUGCCAGCAGCCGCGGUAAUUC